ACGCUCGACACCUACGUGGAGGCAGCAGGUGGGGAAUAUUGCACAAGUGGGGGAAACCCUGAUGCAGCAACGCCGCGUGAAGGAAGACGGUUUUCGGAUUGUAAACUUCUGUUCCUAGUGAAGAUAGUGACGGUAGCUAAGGAGCAAGCCACGGCUAACUACGUGCCAGUAGCCGCGGUAAUCUGAGCGGGCUGGCAAGGC
RNAcentral lists this ribosomal RNA (201 nucleotides) under uncultured bacterium. RNAcentral describes it as "partial 16S ribosomal RNA". It matches the Rfam family "Bacterial small subunit ribosomal RNA", at positions 328 to 539 of the family's 1533-position model. The record is from RNAcentral.